AUACGUAGGGUGCGAGCGUUAAUCGGAAUUACUGGGCGUAAAGCGUGCGCAGGCGGUUAUGUAAGACAGAUGUGAAAUCCCCGGGCUCAACCUGGGAACUGCAUUUGUGACUGCAUAGCUAGAGUACGGCAGAGGGGGAUGGAAUUCCGCGUGUAGCAGUGAAAUGCGUAGAUAUGCGGAGGAACACCGAUGGCGAAGGCAAUCCCCUGGGCCUGUACUGACGCUCAUGCACGAAAGCGUGGGGAGCAAACAGGAUUAGAAACCCUAGUAGUCC
Molecule: ribosomal RNA, 274 nt
Filed under: uncultured bacterium
Lineage: Bacteria
Description: partial 16S ribosomal RNA
Rfam family: Bacterial small subunit ribosomal RNA
Source: RNAcentral